RNAcentral lists this long non-coding RNA (2069 nucleotides) under Bemisia tabaci. RNAcentral describes it as "lncRNA ENSASIAIIG004952". The record is from RNAcentral. Lineage: Eukaryota; Metazoa; Arthropoda; Insecta; Hemiptera; Aleyrodidae.
UUGCAGCCAAAAAAGAUGCUACGACGCCUCUAAACUCACCGCUGCACAAAAAGGCAUUUACUAUGCCUGGGAAUAGGCCAAAGUCGACGACCAGAAAUACAGGCCAUCCCUCGGCCCACCAUUCUCUGAUCCUACAUGACUCAAGUUGGCCGGACUCAUCACUUCGCAGCAAUCCUGAAGGGUUCAAUCAGUUGAACGUAUUCAUGCUAAAAGGAACUAUGUCUCACGCCAACCCUAUGCACAUAGUUUCUUUCAGCAUAAAUAAGCAAUCCUCAAGGGUUCAAUGAAUUGAACGUAUUUGCGCUAAAAGGAACUAUGUCUCACGCCAAUCCUAUGCCACAUAGUUCCUUUUAUCAUAAACACGUCCAACUGAUCUUCUACAACGGCCUGACCAUGCGGAUUACCUCCCUGAGGCGAGACCACUGUGCUGUUAUUCCAAGGGCCUAACUAACUAUACCCUAACUAUUCCAAUAUAAACAAAUAACUGUGGGUGUUUUUUAACUGUCUCUCAAAGUCUCCAUUCAAAUGGGACACCCUGUAUCUCACACCUAGCGCGUAUUUUUUUUUUUUUUUUUUUUUUUUUUUUAUCAUCCGGUCGUAAAUAAUCCGAAAACUUCAGGAGCAGUGGAUCUUUGCUUCGUUUAAAAGUUAAUUUAACAACAGAGGCCCGAGGCGUGCUUCUCAGGAAUAAACUCGUGGUGAUGUCUUAAACUUGUGGAUCAGUUUUUUUGCCGUGGAUUUUCCGAAACCAAAAAUUGGUCAGCAUCUGCCUUUUCCCGAUUCCGUAUUGAUACUCCAGAGAAGAAGGUUGUGCCCCCUUUGGCUCCGUCUUGAAGAUAGUAUUUGAUGUAUUUCGUAUACUUAGCGCGCAUGUGUGGGUACUGUCUUGCGCUUAUUGCUGGGUAACCCGACUAUACGUAAUGAUUUGAACGUCAACGUACAAAUCAUUUAUUCCUUAUGUAGACGAAUCUCGACGAGCAAUUUUGAAUGAGUAAAUUUCUCUCGGAACUCUGGUUUUUUUCUUGACAAUUUCUCAUUACGAUAUAUUUUCUUAUGUUCAUUAUUAUUACUAUCCCGUCUUAAAUUACCUAACUUGAGCCUUUGAUAUUUCAGUCGUCUCACAUUGUAGUGAAGUACGAGUACACUGUGUGUUAUUGUAACACUGGCGUCAGUAAGGUAAAUUAUCCCUCCUUUAGUACAUUACAUAUAUUAUGCGAAAAUUUUCAGUUGUGGCAUGAGUUGACAUUCAUUUUAGACGUAAAUUUUAUUUGUACUCCAGUACCUCGAGUUGCACCUUCUUUCCACGAAGUAUCUCUCAACGCAUCCUCGAGUUUCAUACUCUUUAAGCCAUAAUCUGUUCUCAUGUAAUUUGAGUUUUACGCUCUUUACACAAAUAAUCUGUACUCGUGUAGGUUGAGUUUUACGCUCUUUACACACUCGUGUAAAUUGAGUUUUACGCUCUUUACACAAAUAAUCUGUAGGCUGUCAUGAUCCCCCCUAUAGGACGUGGGGAAGUGAGAGACGGACAACACAAAUGACUAUAAAAUGCUCAUAUUGAUAUUGGUGGAAAGCAUACCUACAAUUGAUUUUAGGAUGAACAGCAACUUAAGGCUCCGACACAAGAGGGGGGGGGGGGCUCCAGCGCCAAUGUCGGGGAGCCACGGACCAAAGCGAAUACGCGCCAAGUCCAAGAGUGGUUUCAGCGAAACUCGCCAAACCGAGGUUCUGGGCUGAUAAUGGAGCCUCAACUACCAGCGCCAGAAUCUGCUCUGUGAGGAUGCCCUGGCUUUAUAUAUGCACUGCCGAAACACGGCCGAGAUGCGAUGUGCCAACUAGUAAACACUCGUUGACGUCAUCGCCGUCAACCGGAUUUCGACAGUGCACUUUCCAAGGCCAUGACAAGGCGCAUAAGUUGAGUUUUACACUCUUUAUGCCAAAAUCCCUACUCGUGUAAGUUGAGUUUUACGCUCCUUACACAAAUAAUCUAUAGGCGCACAAGUUGAGUUUUACACUCUUUAUGCCAAAUCUCUACUUGUGCAAGUUGAGUUUUACGCUCUUUACACAAAUAA